This 1169-nucleotide ribosomal RNA is filed under the name Yucatan tomato phytoplasma. Its description in RNAcentral is "bacterial SSU rRNA". It matches the Rfam family "Bacterial small subunit ribosomal RNA", at positions 190 to 1356 of the family's 1533-position model. Lineage: Bacteria; Bacillati; Mycoplasmatota; Mollicutes; Acholeplasmatales; Acholeplasmataceae. The record is from RNAcentral.
AUCUUUCUUUUUUAAAGACCUUCUUUGAAGGUAUGCUUAAGGAGGGGCUUGCGACACAUUAGUUAGUUGGUAGGGUAAAGGCCUACCAAGACUAUGAUGUGUAGCUGGACUGAGAGGUUGAACAGCCACAUUGGGACUGAACACCGCCCAAACUCCUACGGGAGGCAGCACCAGGGAAUUUUCGGCAAUGGAGGAAACUCUGACCGAUCAACCCCGCGUGAACGAUGAAGUACCUCGGUAUGUAAAGUUCUUUUAUUAAGGAAUAAAAAACAGUGGAAAAACUCCCUUGACGGUACUUAAUGAAUAAGCCCCGGCUAAUUAUGUGCCAGCAGCCGCGAGUAAUACAUAAGGGGCGAGCGUUAUCCUGGAAUUAUUGGGCCUCAAAGGGUGCGUAGGCUGUCUUAAUAAGUUUAUAGUUUAAUUUUCAGCGCUUAACGCUGUUGUGCUAUAGAAACUGUUUUACUAGAGUGAGAUAGAGGCAAGCGGAAUUCCAUGUGUAGCGGUAAAAUGCGUAAAUAUAUGGAGGAACACCAGAGGCGUAGGCGGCUUGCUGGGUCUUUACUGACGCUGAGGCACGAAAGCGUGGGGAGCAAACAGGAUUAGAUACCCUGGUAGUCCACGCCGUAAACGAUGAGUACUAAGUGUCGGGUAAAACCGGUACUGAAGUUAACACAUUAAGUACUCCGCCUGAGGAGUACGUACGCAAGUAUGAAACUUAAAGGAAUUGACGGGACUCCGCACAAGCGGUGGAUCAUGUUGUUUAAUUCGAAGAUACACGAAAAACCUUACCAGGUCUUGACAUUUUCUUGCGAAGUUAUAGAAAUAUAAUGGAGGUUAUCAGGAAAACAGGUGGUGCAUGGUUGUCGUCAGCUCGUGUCGUGAGAUGUUAGGUUAAGUCCUAAAACGAGCGCAACCCUUGUCGUUAAUUGCCAGCAUGUAAUGAUGGGGACUUUAACGAGACUGCCAAUGAAAAAUUGGAGGAAGGUGGGGAUUACGUCAAAUCAUCAUGCCCCUUAUGAUCUGGGCUACAAACGUGAUACAAUGGUUGAUACAAAGAGUAGCUGAAACGCGAGUUCUUAGCCAAUCUCACAAAAUCAAUCUCAGUUCGGAUUGAAGUCUGCAACUCGACUUCAUGAAAGUUGGAAUCGCUAGUAAUCGUAAUCUGCAGU